ACACUGCUAAGCAUUAAAUCAAGAAAGCUACAAUCCCACAUAUUACCAAUGAAGUUCAGAAACCCUCCAGUCCUGCUUUUCAUUCUCUCCGUCCUUUCACUCUCGAUACCAUGGACAACUGCAGGAACAGUUUCCAUUGAUGGCUUUCUCCAAUGCCUCACAAAAUAUCCUCACCCUGCCCACACAAUCCAAGAAUCAAUUUACACCCCUCAAAAUAGCUCAUUUCAAUCUGUUUUGGUAGCACAUAUCAAUAACCGCAGAUAUUCUACAGCUGCAACUCCAAAACCUUUGGCCAUAAUAGCAGCCAAGAAUGAGUCCCACGUCCAGGCAACUGUGCUUUGUGCCAAACAUCAUGGGUUGCAAAUUAAAAUCCGAAGUGGUGGCCAUGAUUUCGAGGGUUUAUCUUACACGUCGGAUGUGCCCUUUGUCAUUCUCGACAUGUUUAACAUUAACUCCAUUGAUGUUAAUGUUGCUGAUAAGAGCGCUUGGGUUCACUCUGGAGCUACUCUUGGAGAAGUUUAUUAUGCAAUUGGUACAAAAACCAACGUUUACGGCUUUCCUGCUGGGAUUUGUCCAACAGUUGGUGCUGGUGGCCAUUUUAGUGGCGGCGGCUAUGGGUUUUUGAUGAGAAAGUAUGGGCUUAGCGUCGAUAAUAUCGUGGAUGCUAGGCUAGUUACUGCCAAUGGUAGAAUCCUUGAUAGAAAGUCAAUGGGAGAGGACCUUUUCUGGGCCAUCAGAGGAGGUGGUGGAGCUAGCUUCGGAGUUAUUCUUUCAUGGAAGCUCAAGCUGGUUCCAGUUCCAGCCAAAGUGACUGUGUUCAACCUUACAAAGACCAUAGAGGAAGGUGUUACAGAUUUGGUUUACAAGUGGCAAACUCUUGCACCCCAGCUGCCCAAAGAGGUCUUCCUCAGAGCACAGCCACAAGUGAAGAAUAUUGAUACCAAGGGAAACAAGACUGUGGCUGUAUCAUUCAUUGGCCAUUUCUUGGGAACAAGUGACAAGGUUGUGGCAUUGUUGAAUGAGAGUUUCCCUGAACUGGGCUUACAACGAAAAGACUGCUAUGAAGUAAGCUGGGUGGAAUCCACUGUAUUUUGGGCUGAAAGUCCUAUUGGAACCCCUAUAGAAAUUCUUCUCAGCAAGCCAACUGAACCAGAGACCUUCUACAAAGGUAAGUCAGACUAUGUGAAGGAACCAAUUCCAAAACAUGUUUUUGAUUCCAUAUGGAAGAAGAUGAUUGAGAUAGAGCACAUUUGGAUGGAUUGGAACCCUCAUGGUGGAAGAAUGAGUGAGAUUUCUGAGUCAGCAACUCCAUACCCUCACAGGGCCGGAAACCUAUUUUUUGCUCUAUACUAUUCGUCGUGGUAUGACGAAGGGAUUGAGGCCACCAACAAGUACGUUAGCUUAACAAGAGAGUUAUAUGACAUGAUGACACCAUAUGUCUCCAAGAGUCCAAGAGAGGCGUUCCAAAACUACAGGGACCUCGACAUAGGUGCGAACCAGGAUAAUAAGACUAACUUUGAAACUGCUACACUUUAUGGAAGGAAGUACUUCAAAGGUAAUUUUGAUAGAUUGGUGCGUGUGAAAACCAUGGUCGAUCCUCUCAAUUUUUUCAAGCAUAAGCAAAGUAUCCCCCCUCUUUAGAGAGAGAUGUAUACUAUGUAUAUGUGAUGUUCAAAAAGAAUAAAUUCCACCUCCGAGAGAGAGAAAGAGAGACAGGGAGAUAGAUAUAGAAUAAGUGGAAGAAGGUUAACAUAAAUCAUCUUAUGAGCUGUUUGUCAUGCUUGAUGAUGUUGUUGAUGUUACCAAAAUAUUGAUUUGAUUUGUUGUAAAAUAAAGCUUGUAGUCUACAAUGACGAUCUCUUGUAAGUUGUAAUCUCUACUAUAUAUGUGUUCUUUGUAAACCCUAAUAUAAUCAACAAGUCCUUCACAUA
This 1931-nucleotide long non-coding RNA is filed under the name Prunus dulcis (almond). Its description in RNAcentral is "sRNA ncRNA". Lineage: Eukaryota; Viridiplantae; Streptophyta; Magnoliopsida; Rosales; Rosaceae. The record is from RNAcentral.